This 254-nucleotide ribosomal RNA is filed under the name uncultured bacterium. RNAcentral describes it as "partial 16S ribosomal RNA". It matches the Rfam family "Bacterial small subunit ribosomal RNA", at positions 524 to 776 of the family's 1533-position model. The record is from RNAcentral.
UACGGGGGGAGCGAGCGUUGUUCGGAUUUACUGGGCGUAAAGGGCGCGUAGGCGGCCACCGCAAGUCGACUGUGAAAUCUCCGAGCUUAACUCGGAAAGGUCAACUGAUACUGUGCGACUAGAGUGCAGAAGGGGCAACUGGAAUUCUCGGUGUAGCGGUGAAAUGCGUAGAUAUCGAGAGGAACACCUGCGGCGAAGGCGGGUUGCUGGGCUGACACUGACGCUGAGGCGCGAAAGCUAGGGGAGCGAACGGG